GUGACCCCAGGAUGGGCGAGGCCACCC
This 27-nucleotide ribosomal RNA is filed under the name Zygostates nectarifera. RNAcentral describes it as "partial large subunit ribosomal RNA". Lineage: Eukaryota; Viridiplantae; Streptophyta; Magnoliopsida; Asparagales; Orchidaceae. The record is from RNAcentral.